CCCUUAUUCUAUAUUCCGCCGACCAGCUCAAGAAGACAGACUUCUAUAGUGUGUCAGAUUGACAAGCAUGGCUGGAUCAGUUGUUAUGUCCGUGCUUGCACUGGCUUCUGUCCUCAUCCUCCUUUUCACCUCGGAGAGCCGCGGACAAGAACUCAACACGUGGCUCGAUUGCAGCGGAGACGGCGGUAACGAAGUAUAUGUCAGCACCACCCAGGAAACGUGGGUUGCUGGCGAGCAUUUCUGCCAAGGUCAAGGCAGCCAUCUCGCCAGCUUUCCCCAGAUCACGGCAUGCAAGUCAAGUUUACUGCCGUUGCUUGGUCAUGUAAGAGUCCACACCAGCUACACCAAAUUGCUGGAUGGACUUCACUACCGUGAUAUUGGAAACAAACUGCAAUUGUCGGACACCGUUGUCGACUUCAGUCGCGGUGCCGACAAUUGCAGUUUUACGUUUCUGGGAGACGAAUUACCGCCGGAGGACAAUCAGUGCUCAU
This is a long non-coding RNA of Sycon ciliatum, 491 nucleotides long. RefSeq lists it as uncharacterized. The transcript is spliced from 3 exons. The record is from RefSeq and is a predicted model, not a curated record. Lineage: Eukaryota; Metazoa; Porifera; Calcarea; Leucosolenida; Sycettidae.